AUUGAACGCUGGCGGAAUGCUUUACACAUGCAAGUCGAACGGCAGCACGGACUUCGGUCUGGUGGCGAGUGGCGAACGGGUGAGUAAUAUAUCGGAACGUAUCCAAUAAUGGGGGAUAACUAAUCGAAAGGUUGGCUAAUACCGCAUACGCCCUACGGGGGAAAGCUAGGGACCUUCGGGCCUGGCGUUAAUGGAGCGGCCGAUAUCUGAUUAGCUAGUUGGUGAGGUAAGAGCUCACCAAGGCGACGAUCAGUAGCUGGUCUGAGAGGACGACCAGCCACACUGGAACUGAGACACGGUCCAGACUCCUACGGGAGGCAG
RNAcentral lists this ribosomal RNA (321 nucleotides) under uncultured Pseudomonadota bacterium. RNAcentral's name for it is "bacterial SSU rRNA". It matches the Rfam family "Bacterial small subunit ribosomal RNA", at positions 30 to 351 of the family's 1533-position model. The record is from RNAcentral. Lineage: Bacteria; Pseudomonadati; Pseudomonadota.